RNAcentral lists this ribosomal RNA (896 nucleotides) under Diaporthe columnaris. RNAcentral's name for it is "LSU rRNA". It matches the Rfam family "Eukaryotic large subunit ribosomal RNA", at positions 38 to 963 of the family's 3401-position model. Lineage: Eukaryota; Fungi; Ascomycota; Sordariomycetes; Diaporthales; Diaporthaceae. The record is from RNAcentral.
GCAUAUCAAUAAGCGGAGGAAAAGAAACCAACAGGGAUUGCCCUAGUAACGGCGAAGUGAAGCGGCAACAGCUCAAAUUUGAAAUCUGGCUUCGGCCCGAGUUGUAAUUUGCAGAGGAUGUUUAUGGUGCGGUGCCUACCGAGUUCCCUGGAACGGGACGCCACAGAGGGUGAGAGCCCCGUCUGGUAGGACACUAAACCUGUGUUAAACUCCUUCAACGAGUCGAGUAGUUUGGGAAUGCUGCUCUAAAUGGGAGGUAAAUCUCUUCUAAAGCUAAAUACUGGCCAGAGACCGAUAGCGCACAAGUAGAGUGAUCGAAAGAUGAAAAGCACCUUGAAAAGGGGGUUAAACAGUACGUGAAAUUGUUGAAAGGGAAGCGUUUAUGACCAGACUUGUGUCGUGUGGCUCAUCCGAGGUUCUCCCCGGUGCACUCCACGCGGCUCAGGCCAACAUCGGUUGUCGUUGGGGGAUAAGAACAGUAGGAACGUGGCUCCCCUCGGGGAGUGUUAUAGCCUAUUGUACGAUACCCUGAUGGCGACCGAGGACCGCGCUUCGGCUAGGAUGUUGGCGUAAUGGUCAUUAGCGACCCGUCUUGAAACACGGACCAAGGAGUCGUCCAUUAGAGCGAGCGUUUGGGUGUAAAACCCGCACGCGUAAUGAAAGUGAAAUUAGGUGAGAGCUUCGGCGCAUCAUCGACCGAUCCUGAAGUUUACGGAUGGAUUUGAGUAAGAGUUUUAACGGACGGACCCGAAAGACAGUGAACUAUGCUUGAAUAGGGUGAAGCCAGAGGAAACUCUGGUGGAGGCUCGCAGCGGUUCUGACGUGCAAAUCGAUCGUCAAAUUUGAGCAUGGGGGGCGAAAGACUAAUCGAACUGUCUAGUAGCUGGUUACCGCGA